Molecule: long non-coding RNA, 583 nt
Organism: Syngnathus acus (greater pipefish)
Lineage: Eukaryota; Metazoa; Chordata; Actinopteri; Syngnathiformes; Syngnathidae
Exons: 3
Source: RefSeq, a predicted model, not a curated record
ACCGACACACAAUCCAGUUAAACAACAAAUGUGGCGUUUGAAAUUGCCUACCUGAGUCGUUACAGCGGUAAAUAUACCACAAUAAAGUCCCAAAAAUCAUUUUACAACAUUACUCUUAAAAACAUAGUCUACUUCAUUUGGAAAAAUGCUGAAUUCUAAGUGCACAUGCGUAGAGUCAACAUUACAUGGUAAAAAAAAAAAACCGACGGUUCAGACAUUUGACACUUUGUUGUUACCGUACGUACACUGUUUGGCGGAAGAACACGUACUUACUACCGGUCGGUCAUUCGUUAGUUCGUGGCUUUGAAAUGUUUUGCCAAAUAAUGUCGACUUUUUCAUUCCAUUUGAAAGCAAGGAGCGCCACUCCUCCUAGUGUGAUGUGAACAAGCCUCUCUGUUUCAACCUGUUGCUGACACUGCGACACGGAGCACAUCCCCUUUCGAAGCGGACAGCACUCGUGGAUCUUGUGCUGUUUGGACAUUUGGCACAGCAGGCAAAUGGGCUCCUCGUCAUUCUGACAAUAAAUGCUCAGCUUCUCCUCGUGAAGCAUGCAGCGGUCUCCGCUCACGUUCUCCGUGUGGUA